GGCGUAGGCAAUUGAGGCAGGUUUCCAGUUUAAGGUUUUAGUUUUGUAGACGAUUCGUCUGGAGUUUAGUCAAAAUGAGAAGGCUUUAUUGAUUUACCAUGGCGUUACGUUGGAGAUUUUUUUUUUUAUAACUUAUUCAAGAUGGGAGACGGACUUGCUGUACUUAAUCUCGAAGCUUUUAAAGUUUUCAACGUUCUCCGGGAUUACUUAAUUGAAAAAGUACGGUCUUAGUUAUGCAGGAGUAUUACUAAAAAUCUGGAAGUUUUGACAAGCUUAGACAUUUCCUACUUUUUGGAUCUGUAGGAAUCUGCUGUGAAGAAUUAAUCGAAAAAAAUUCUUAAGAGUACCAGUCUGUUCCAUUUUAUAUAGCUUUGAUUUAUAGGCUUUUGCACUGUAACUCCUAGCCAUGACCAAAUCUCAAGAACUAUUCUGUACUUCGUAGGAAAGACAGAUUUUUUUUUAUGCUUGUCUUAUAGCUUUGGUGAUGUAGGAUUAAAGAUGAGUAACUUUAUAAUAGGAUAUAUCCAAAAUUAAGGGGAAAUUAUUUUCAUGGGAUUUUUUCUUUCCGCUUGCAUUAGGUAAGAUGGUUACAGUUUGCUGUGAAAGUUUUUGUAAAAUUAUUUCUGGAAGUCUUUAAAACGUGGUGCAUGACUGUAAAGAGGAAUUCUUUUUAUGAUUUGAUGGUAAAGUAAGCUAUUGCCAGUAGAAUUAUAAACACUUAAGCAGCAGAAUAAGCGACCGAAUUAGACUAA
This is a long non-coding RNA of Macrobrachium nipponense, 752 nucleotides long. RefSeq lists it as uncharacterized. NCBI's taxonomy places the organism in Eukaryota, Metazoa, Arthropoda, Malacostraca, Decapoda, Palaemonidae. The transcript is spliced from 2 exons. The record is from RefSeq and is a predicted model, not a curated record.